RNAcentral lists this ribosomal RNA (251 nucleotides) under uncultured bacterium. RNAcentral's name for it is "partial 16S ribosomal RNA". It matches the Rfam family "Bacterial small subunit ribosomal RNA", at positions 525 to 775 of the family's 1533-position model. The record is from RNAcentral.
ACGUAGGGGGCAAGCGUUAUCCGGAUUUACUGGGUGUAAAGGGAGCGUAGACGGCACGGCAAGCCAGAUGUGAAAGCCCGGGGCUCAACCCCGGGACUGCAUUUGGAACUGCUGAACUAGAGUGUCGGAGAGGCAAGUGGAAUUCCUAGUGUAGCGGUGAAAUGCGUAGAUAUUAGGAGGAACACCAGUGGCGAAGGCGGCUUGCUGGACGAUGACUGACGUUGAGGCUCGAAAGCGUGGGGAGCAAACAG